GAUGAACGCUGGCGGCGUGCCUAAUACAUGCAAGUCGAGCGAACAGACGCGGAGCUUGCUCCUCUGACGUUAGCGGCGGACGGGUGAGUAACACGUGGAUACCCUACCUAUAAGACUGGGAUCACUUCGGGACACCGGCGCUAAUACCGGAUAAUAUAUUGAACCGCAUGGUUCAAUAGUGAAAGACGGUUUUGCUGUCACUUAUAGCUGGUUCCGCGCCGCAUUAGCUAGUUGGUAAGGUAACGGCCUACCAAGGCAACGAUGCGUAGCCGACCUGAGAGGGUGAUCGGCCGCACUGGAACUGAGACACGGUCCAGACUCCUACGGGAGGCAGCAGAAGGGAAUCGGCCGCAAUGGGCGAAAGCCUGACGGAGCGACGCCGCGUGAGUGGUGAAGGUCUUCGGAUCGUAAAACUCUGUUAUGAGGGAAGAACAAAUGUGUAAGUAACUAUGCACGUCGUGACGGUACCGAAUCAGAAAGCCACGGCUAACUACGUG
Molecule: ribosomal RNA, 497 nt
Filed under: uncultured bacterium
Lineage: Bacteria
Description: partial 16S ribosomal RNA
Rfam family: Bacterial small subunit ribosomal RNA
Source: RNAcentral